UGUACCUACGGGGGGCAGCAGUGGGGAAUAUUGCACAAUGGGGGGAACCCUGAUGCAGCGACGCCGCGUGAGCGAUGAAGUAUUUCGGUAUGUAAAGCUCUAUCAGCAGGGAAGAAAAUGACGGUACCUGACUAAGAAGCCCCGGCUAACUACGUGCCAGCAGCCGCGGUAAUACGUAGGGGGCAAGCGUUAUCCGGAUUUAUUGGGUUUAAAGGGUGCGCAGGCGGUCUGUUAAGUCAGCGGUCAAAGCCCGGGGCUCAACCCCGGCCCGCCGUUGAAACUGGCAGUCUCGAGUUGGAGAGAAG
RNAcentral lists this ribosomal RNA (305 nucleotides) under uncultured bacterium. RNAcentral's name for it is "bacterial SSU rRNA". It matches the Rfam family "Bacterial small subunit ribosomal RNA", at positions 334 to 657 of the family's 1533-position model. The record is from RNAcentral.